Molecule: long non-coding RNA, 223 nt
Filed under: Elaeis guineensis (African oil palm)
Lineage: Eukaryota; Viridiplantae; Streptophyta; Magnoliopsida; Arecales; Arecaceae
Description: long non-coding RNA (EGUI_LNC053861)
Source: RNAcentral
CUCAACUAAUCAAGAAGAACCACUAACAAAAAGUGGUAGUAACUAACUCUCAACAAACUUAAGAAAAAGAAGAAGAAACCAUGAACCUUGGCACCAACCCUUGACACCAAGGAAUAGGUUGCCGCCCACCUCUCUCUUAGAUCCAAGAGAGGAUGCCUAGAGAGAGAGGGUAUGAGCUAGAGAGAGGAAGAGAAGGGGAGGUGUUGGGCACAGUAAGGGUGGC